This 502-nucleotide ribosomal RNA is filed under the name uncultured Glomeromycotina. Its description in RNAcentral is "partial small subunit ribosomal RNA". It matches the Rfam family "Eukaryotic small subunit ribosomal RNA", at positions 591 to 1092 of the family's 1831-position model. Lineage: Eukaryota; Fungi; Glomeromycota. The record is from RNAcentral.
CCAAUAGCGUAUAUUAAAGUUGUUGCAGUUAAAAAGCUCGUAGUUGAAUUUCGGAAUCUGUCCAUCGGUCGGGCUUCACUGUUCGUACUGGUGUGGUGGGUUCUUACCUUCUGAAUAACCAGCAUGCCAUUCACUUGGUGCGUUGGGGAAGCAGGACUAUUACCUUGAAAAAAUUAGAGUGCUCAAAGCAGGCCAGUGCCUGAAUACAUUAGCAUGGAAUAAUAAAAUAGGACGGCAUGGUUCUAUUUUGUUGGUUUCUAGGAUCACCGUAAUGAUUAAUAGGGAUAGUUGGGGGCAUUAGUAUUCAAUUGUCAGAGGUGAAAUUCUUGGAUUUAUUGAAGACUAACUUCUGCGAAAGCAUUUGCCAAGGAUGUUUUCAUUAAUCAAGAACGAAAGUUAGGGGAUCGAAGACGAUCAGAUACCGUCGUAGUCUUAACCAUAAACUAUGCCGACUAGGGAUCGGACGAUGUUAAUUUUUUAAUGACUCGUUCGGCGCCUUACG